Molecule: non-coding RNA, 26 nt
Filed under: Cricetulus griseus (Chinese hamster)
Lineage: Eukaryota; Metazoa; Chordata; Mammalia; Rodentia; Cricetidae
Also listed under: 1 other name
Source: RNAcentral
AGCACUGACUGUUCUUCCAGAGGUCC